RNAcentral lists this ribosomal RNA (262 nucleotides) under uncultured Alphaproteobacteria bacterium. RNAcentral describes it as "partial 16S ribosomal RNA". It matches the Rfam family "Bacterial small subunit ribosomal RNA", at positions 29 to 320 of the family's 1533-position model. The record is from RNAcentral. Lineage: Bacteria; Pseudomonadati; Pseudomonadota; Alphaproteobacteria.
AACGAACGCUGGCGGCAGGCCUAACACAUGCAAGUCGAGCGCACCUUCGGGUGAGCGGCGGACGGGUUAGUAACGCGUGGGAACGUGCCCUUUGGUACGGAAUAGCCUCUGGAAACGGAGAGUAAUACCGUAUGAGCCCUUCGGGGGAAAGAUUUAUCGCCAAAGGAUCGGCCCGCGUUAGAUUAGCUAGUUGGUAAGGUAAUGGCUUACCAAGGCGACGAUCAGUAGCCGACCUGAGAGGGUGAUCGGCCACACUGGAACU